This 477-nucleotide ribosomal RNA is filed under the name Triticum aestivum (bread wheat). Its description in RNAcentral is "partial small subunit ribosomal RNA". The record is from RNAcentral. Lineage: Eukaryota; Viridiplantae; Streptophyta; Magnoliopsida; Poales; Poaceae.
AUGGCCAUCUCACUCGGCGUCCGUCGCCUCAUGGUUUAUGACGACUCAGAUUUGGUAGUUAAUCAAGUGAUGAAGGAGUGGGACGUCAGAAGUCCAGCCAUGACUGGUUACUGCAAUACGGUGAGAAAGCUUGAGAAGAAGUUCGAGGGGUUAGAACUCCACCACGUCCCCCGAUUGAAAAAUCAAGCAGCCGAUGAAUUGGCAAAGAUAGGUUCCAAGAGAGAAGUCAUUCCCAGCAAUGUGUUCUUGAAGCAUAUUCACACGCCGACAGUUCAGGAAGACCCUUUCACUGAAGAGCCUUGUUCUAGUGCUGGAGUAGUUCUGGUAUCCUACCGAGGAGACAAGCUCAGAUAUGUCCUCCAGAUUCACUUUGAAGCACUUCUGUAUAGGUUGCGCAUGGCCAUCUCACUCGGCGUCCGUCGCCUCAUGGUCUAUGGCGACUCAGAUUUGGUAGUUAAUCAAGUGAUAAAGGAGUGA